CUGGCGGCGUGCUUAACACAUGCAAGUCGAACGAUGACGAUGGUGCUUGCACCGUCUGAUUAGUGGCGAACGGGUGAGUAACACGUGAGUAACCUGCCCUCCUCUUCGGGAUAACCGCCGGAAACGGUGGCUAAUACCGGAUAUGAAUGCCCGCCGCAUGGUGGGUGUUGGAAAGAUUUAUCGGUGGGGGAUGGACUCGCGGCCUAUCAGUUUGUUGGUGAGGUAAUGGCUCACCAAGGCGAUGACGGGUAGCCGGCCUGAGAGGGCGACCGGCCACACUGGGACUGAGACACGGCCCAGACUCCUACGGGAGGCAGCAGUGGGGAAUAUUGCACAAUGGGCGAAAGCCUGAUGCCAGCGACGCCGCGUGGGGGAUGACGGCCUUCGGGUUGUAAACCUCUUUCAGUAGGGAAGAAGCGAGAGUGACGGUACCUGCAGAAGAAGCGCCGGCUAACUACGUGCCAGCAGCAGC
RNAcentral lists this ribosomal RNA (472 nucleotides) under uncultured bacterium. RNAcentral describes it as "bacterial SSU rRNA". It matches the Rfam family "Bacterial small subunit ribosomal RNA", at positions 36 to 518 of the family's 1533-position model. The record is from RNAcentral.